Molecule: long non-coding RNA, 1621 nt
Filed under: Equus caballus (horse)
Lineage: Eukaryota; Metazoa; Chordata; Mammalia; Perissodactyla; Equidae
Description: lncRNA (ENSECAG00000051854.1)
Source: RNAcentral
UUAUAGAAAGUUCAUCUGAGGAUAUAUCUUUUAAAUGGCCUGCUGAUUGUUUCUCAAAGCUGCUGGAUCCUGCUACUAGUGAGCAGAGAGCUAGGGUUCACACCCAGCCGAUCUGAUUCCCCUGCCCAUGACUUUGAGCUCCUCCCUUCAGUGAGAUGAAAAAAGAGAGGCUUUCUCCUGGAAUCGGAAAAGGCUGGAGUUAGAGGUCAGAGGCAGAGGCUGAAUGUCCACACUGGUCCCUCCCGUCUGCCCUUUCAAGGGGAGGGAAGCCCCGUGCCUGUGCUGAUGGAGGUGAGGAUGUUGCUCACAUCCCUUCUCUACCUUCAGUUUUCUGUCUGCCAAGGGCACCAGAGAGGACGCUCUAAGGCAGUGGUCCCCAAAUGCUGGGGCAUGGGCGCUGGGCAUCAGACUACGAGGAAGAACUUAAAUACAGACACCGGCCUUCACUCUGGACUGACUGAAUCCAGCUCCACCGGGUGGAAGCCAAGCAUUUUGACCUGUUCUCGGGGAGGUUUUUGCACCUCCCAAGGUCUGGAACCCACUCCUCCAUGGUAUCUCGGGGGAGUCUGGGCCUCCCAUCUCACCUCCUGAUGUCCCUCCCCCAGCUCUUGGGACUCAGAAUCAAGACAUGGGUUAGGGGUCCCAGCUGUAGCCUCGGGGCGGUUAUACCUCAGCCAGCUGUCCCUGCCUUCAUUAACAGACAGGGCCGCGUAUAUGGAAUACGGAAUCUUUUGUUCGCAGCCAUGCACAGCAACAACCGCAUCCACCCAAGUUCCCUGAAACAAGGGCCACCACCACACAUUCCCUGGCCUUCUUGGUGGCCUUCUGGUGGGAGCAGAUACGGGUUAAUUUGCGGCAGAAGCAUAGAUAUCCGAGACUGGAGGAUCCUAGCAGGCCGAGAUGGCACCCUGCCCUAGUCAUCUGCGGCUGUGUAAAAACCACCACCCAAAACAGCCAUUUAUUAGGCUUACAGAUUCAGAGUGUGAGGAACUCGACAGGGGCCAAAAGGGGUGACUGUCCUGGCUCUACAACGUCUAUGGCCUUAGUUGGGAAGACUUGAAUGGCUGGAGGUGCCUCUAAAGGCUGAGGGCUGAAAUCAAGUGGAAGCUUCUUGUCUCACAUGUCCUGUGCCCGGGCUGGGAUGGCUCCGCAGGGACGUCAACCUGAGUGCCUACACACGGCCUCUCUGGGGUUUGGGCUUCCUCACAGUGUGGCGGCCUCAGGAUAAUUGGACUCCUUAUGCAAAGGCUCAGGGCUCCAAAGACAAGUGUGCCAGCUAACAAGGCAGGGGCUGAUGGCCUGUGAUGGCCUAGACUUGGAAGUCACGUGGCAUCCCUUCUCUAUACUCUGUUGACUGAAACAGUCAUGGGCCUGCUGAUAUUCAAAGAAAGGAGGCAUAGAUCCCACAUCUCAAGAGAAGGAGUCAGAGAACUUAUGACCGUGUUUUAAAACUGUCCCACAAGCCCUGCUGGCUGCAACUGCAUGUGCUAGAACCUGGGGCAGGGCCUGGUUCAGCAAGGGGGCGCAGGGCCGGUUCACGAGGUCCCGGGCUCUUGGCCGGACACUGACGCUCAUCGUGCUGUAUGGAAUUGGGUGGGUCCUCUCCGCUUGCCUGACCUCC